This 497-nucleotide ribosomal RNA is filed under the name uncultured bacterium. RNAcentral's name for it is "partial 16S ribosomal RNA". It matches the Rfam family "Bacterial small subunit ribosomal RNA", at positions 28 to 507 of the family's 1533-position model. The record is from RNAcentral.
GACGAACGCUGGCGGCGUGCCUAAUAAAUGCAAGUUGAGCGCUGAAGGUUGGUACUUGUACCAACUGGCUGAGCAGCGAACGGGUGAGUAACGCGUGGGGAAUCUGCCUUUGAGCGGGGGACAACAUUUGGAAACGAAUGCUAAUACCGCAUAAAAACUUUAACCACAAGGUUUAAGUUUGAAAGAUGCAAUUGCAUCACUCAAAGAUGAUCCCGCGUUGUAUUAGCUAGUUGGUGAGGGAAAGGCUCACCAAGGCGAUGAUACAUAGCCGACCUGAUAGGGUGAUCGGCUGCAGUGGGACGGGGACACGGCGCAAACACCUACGGGAGGCAGCAGUAGGGGAACUUCGGCGAUGGACGAGAGUCGGACCGAGAAAAGGCCGGUGAGUGGCGGAAGCAUUCGGAUCGUAAAAAUAUGACUGUAGAGAAGAGCGGUGGGGAUAGUGAAAAGCUCAACAAGUGACAGUAACAACCAAGAAAGCAACGGCUAACUACGUG